AUUGUGUGACCUACUUAAAU
RNAcentral lists this microRNA (20 nucleotides) under Drosophila pseudoobscura pseudoobscura. Its description in RNAcentral is "mir-1002-RB". Lineage: Eukaryota; Metazoa; Arthropoda; Insecta; Diptera; Drosophilidae. The record is from RNAcentral.